GCAGGCAAACGCUCCUCACCCGUGGGAGGGGUCACUGGGGCUGGGAGAGACCUUAGGGACCCUGUGGUCCACAGUUCCCCCACUUGAGUCUCCAGGCGCUGAGCUUUGUGCAGGUGGUGAGAAGGGGUCAGAUGGGAAAGAGCCACCUGCCACCUGUGUGCUCACUCUUGGCCUGGGGGCAGGGGCAUUGACGAGGGGGCUCCACGCUGACCAGGCCCUGCAGUGGGCCCUGAGGCCAGACAAAUGCAUGACAGGGAUGGGGUGGUGGCUCUUUUAGGUGGAAAAGUGAGUGGCAUUGGGAAGAAACCCGAAGGAGGUGAGAAUGUAAGCCUCCUGGGCAUUCCUGGGGUUGGGUGUUGGGGGAGACAUCAGGGAUGUGGCCCAAGCGCCAGGCCAGGGCCUCCAUGCAGUUUCUGGGCCUGGUGAGGCCUGUCCUAUACAGGUUUUAGAGCCGAGCCAAGCCACCUGUCACCAGGACUGGCAGGGAAGAGUCCCCCUGCAGCCACCUGGAAGAACUGGAGUCCCCGCAUAGCUGGUGCAGGGAGCAGGGCCAGCGAUAGACGGGGGCGGGGGGCACGGCAAUGUGGGCGCCCAGGCCGCUUCCACGGGCAUCCACACCGCCAUCCUUUAAUCCCCUCCAAGAGUCAAGUGAUGCUGGCCAGGUUCCCCAAGGACAAGUGGCUCUGUGAUCCAGGACGGAGCAGGACACAGACACCUGGGGGCACCUGGGGGGGGGGGGAGGGGAGCUGGGUCUUCUGCUGUAGCCCAUCUGGACCCGUGAUGACCACCUCAAGUCACCAAGGUCACCUUUGUGUUUGUCAGAAGCCUCCGGACUGAUUAAGUUAUAUCCCCCUGCCGCUCAGCCCUUAUCUGCAUAUUUACUGAAGGUUUCCAGUGGAUCAAGAGAGGUAGUCUGUGCCCCAUUAAUGUCUCUCAUUGGAUUUAAUGAUUUCACAUAAAACUGAAAAGCAUCUCAGAACCCUCCUGCAACCGGGGACAAAGUUGUGGGGAUGGAGUUACAGACCAGAGGUCCUUGCCAGCUCUUGCUGGCUCCUGCCGCUGUGGCUGUCCCAUCAGGAGGGCUUGGCCCACACUAGCGCCCUUUGUCAGGCCCUGCAUGGAUUAGCCCGAGGGAGGGAAGGUGCUAGAACCGACCUUUUCAGAUCAGGAGGCUGAGGCGCAGAGGAAAGGGACUCGUCCCACCCCGGUGCUCAUCCUCCCUCUGCCGGAGCCUUGUUAGGAGUGAGGACGAGCCCCCCCCCCCAGCCCAUGACCCCUCCCAGAGCGGCCAGAGCAGCAGAAGGGGCACACCGCUUGCACAGCGGCUCUUGACCUCUGCUGGGGGUGGGAGGUGCGGGGGCACCCUCCAGGAGGCGGAGCCGGAGCUGCCUUAAAGCCAGCAGCGCUUUCAUGCUUUCACCAGGAGCCACAGGGCUGGGCACUGGGCACACGGGCGGACGAGGGCAGAUGCUCACUCUACGCUGUGCCCUACGUAGGGGCCAUGAGGCCCGGGACCUGCCACCGGCCGGAGACACCCACGCACAAAAGGUAGUAACCGGCGCCCAGCCGCGAUGCACUGUGGAGCGAGCUAAGGAAUACAAGGGCGGGUGGGCUGGUGGGAGAGCUCCUAAUCUGGGCUAGGAAGGGCCUGGAGGAGGGGAUGUCCCUUGGGGGUUUAAAGCCCAGUGGAAGUGAGAGGAGGAGCAGGCAAAAGUCAGGAGGUGAGCCCUGGAAGGAGAGUCUCCAGGAGGCCCCUCUCGGCCCCAAAGCCUGAGGGGACAUUUCCACCCUCCACCCAGGGCCCCGCCCCAUCCCUCCCUGGCCUUCCUGGCCCAGGGUGCCCUUCGCUGACGCCCAGCACUCAGACUGGGCUGAGGAGAGAGCCUUUCAGACAAGCCUCUCGGGGUCCCCAGGGGCCUGGAUGGCUUUCUGAUGGGAGGGCAGGAGUGGAACCCCUCUUUUGACCCAGGGGCUAACCUCCAGUAGCGAGAGCCUACCCUGGGCUGCCCUGGCCUGCCGUCCACCAGUGUCCGCCUCUGGGUGCGGCCAUCCUGUUUCCAGAGAGUCCUGGGUCCAGUCCUUCCCUUCAGGCUCAGCUCCCACUUCUCAGAUAAGAAAACCGAGACCCAGGGAGGUUGUGACAUUUGUGCCAGAGAUGGGUCUGGAAACCGGCCACUCAGAGCUGGGGUCCAGGUCCUCCUCCGGCCCAGCACCAGCCUUGACAGCCACCGGGGUAGUCUGGACUGAGGGGCUCAGCAAGUCAGGCAGCCCAACUCCGGGGUGCCGCUCAUGCACCUUGAGCCGCCUGGCGGCCCUGGGGCCUCCCUCCUUCCAGAGGGGUCUGCCGGUGCCCAGGCCCCGAGGUGCUCUGGGCUUCGCGUCGGGAGAAGGGCAAGCCAGCAGCCACUGCGAGGAGGCCGCGUGGGGUGGCUGAGUGUCCCUGUGGGGCGGGGGACCUGCCCCCCUGGCUGGGCCGUCGGGAAGCCCCAGGGGAGCAGCUGAUGGUCAGGGUGGAGCCGGUCAUCGGGCCAGGGCGGCAGGAGGCCAGCACGGGGGCUCUGAGGAGGUCCAAGCAGAGACCACGGGCCACGGCUGGGCGCUGGGGGCGGCGGUGGGACAGCCCAGCCCCAAGUCAGGGGUGGGCUUCGAGGAAUAUCACGAGGUGAGACAGACAUACAGAGACCAGAAAGGGGGUUACUGGCUGUCUAGGGCUGGGGGCCGGGGAACAGCGGAGGCGUGCAGGGUUCUUUGUGGAUGUGAAACGUUGACUGUGGUGAGGAACACGCAACUCAGUGGCCCUAAAAGCCACUGAAUUGUGCACUUUGUGAAUUGCACAGUAUGUGAACCGUUCUCAACAAUGCUGCUUAAAAAAGAGAGAAAUUGGGACGUAGGCAGCCUCCCCAGGGGGCUCGUCAGGGCCAGAGGCACACCCUCCCCCAGCCGGACCAGAAACGCUCCUUUCCUGGACUUUAGAAGCAGCUGACGGACCCUGGGGGCAGCGCCCAGACCCCACGGGAGCUCAGUCCUGCCCGUUUCCCUACUUGGAGUCCCUUUGGCAUCUCUGAUCCCAGAUCCUCCAUCCCUUUCUCUUCCUUUCCACCCAGUUGCAGAGCCGGGACCACCGUGCUAUCCCUGGAGUGGUCCACGGUCUGCAUGUGGUUGCUGCGGCCUGUGGGCAAAGCCCAGCGCUGGCUCCUUCCUCUGGGUUUCCUGCCGACCGGCAGUCAGUCCCAGAGCCUCAGUCAGACUCAGCUUCGGUAACUUUGACCAAACUACAGGUGGUGCUGGGCAAGGCUGGGGCAGCUCAAAUGCCUGGCUGUGUCACUUGGAAGUCUGAGUGGCCGUCCCAGGGGAGACACUCCACUGCCUUCUCUGUCACUGAUCUUCGGAGUCCUCGUGCAGACACCGUCCAGUGUGGGCCCUGCAGGGUGCAGCUUGGUCCGGUGGCCGCCGGAGAGACGCUGGGAUCAUCCCCUCCCGCCACCGGCUCUCACGAGUGAGGUGGCUCCCACCAGCCUCCAGAAGUGGCCCGUUUCUCUUUUUCCAAGGAGGAAGCACAUAGAACACAGCCUUUUAGGUUAACUGUUUCUGCUCAGCCUGACCCUCUGGAGACGUGCUCGGGGCUGCUUGUCCUAACAGUCCGUGCCUUUGUGAUGUGGAGUAUUGGGUGCUGGGGCCACCGAGGAUUUACCCUCACCCGACAAAGAACGCCGGGUCCUUACGGGCAUGGCUGUUACAGGUGCGAUGGUGCCCUCGGGGCUCCCCGUGCAGCCCAAGACCCAGAGCUGUUCCGGAAGAUCUCUACUUUCGACGUGUGCAUUCUUCUUCAGCACAGAGGACCACACAGGAGACGCGCCGUCUGGAAGAUCCAUCCCACAAUUACUCAUUCAGUUUUCCCAACAAUAUGAUCGCUAAAAACAUGAAGUGUUUUUGCACCUCUGCCCUCUCUCCCUACCCUCCUUCAGGCUGCUGCACGCCCCACUCUCCCAUCGCAGCCUUGCCGGCCCGGGCCCCGAAGUAGCUGUACGUGUGACACUGUCCUUGGUGCCCACGCUGACGCGUCUGAUCACAUCAGCUGCAGAAGAUCAUUUUCCCAUAGAUUCUCGGGAAGGGCUCACAGGAACAAGAUCUCUGAAUUCUGACUUCUCCCACAUGGAUGACAACUUUUCUGUGCCCUUUGUACUUGCAAGAAAAUUGUCACGAACGAUCAUCUCCCCCAGGAUAAAGUCUUGCAAAACUCCAGUGCACUGUCAGAACCAGUGAGCGCCCGUCCACACUGGGGGUGGCCCGGGGUUUGCUUGGCCACUGCCUGUAGAAGGACAUGUGGAUGGUUCUCGUCUGGGGCUGUUACACACUCGACCGUUAGGAACAUUCACACCCAGGUUUCUAGUGAACAUGCGUUUUCAGUUCUGGGAUAAAUGCCCAGGAGCAGUUACCGGCUCGGGUGGUAACUGUCCGAGUACCUUCCAGAGGGGCUGCGCCACCUCCCCACCCGGUGUUCACCAGCCCUCGCUGUGUCCCCUCGCUGACGUCAGCACUGAUGGCUGGUUCUCAGCCACGUUUCCCUAACGAGCAGUCUCGCUGGACACCUUCUCACACAUCCUCUGCCCCUGUGUCCUCUCCGUGACCUGCCUCCCUCCUCACGCCCCCUGCUCCUCCUCUAGCUGGACUGCUUUCCACUGUGACUUUGGGGAGUUCUCCUUUAUCCCAGGCGAACCCCUGUCAGAUACGUCCCCCGAGCCCACCGCCUGUCCUUCCGCCCUCUCAGCAGGGCCUUGCCCAGAGCAAGUCUUUGAUUGUGAUGAGGUCUUGUUUAACCAUUUUCCUUUUUGCGGCGCAUGCUUCUGGUGUCCAGUCUAAGCACUGCCUCGCCCUAGAGCCCAGUUUUCUACAAGUUUUAUACUUUUGCACUUUACACUUAAGUCUGCGGUCCGUUUUAAGUUAACUUUCAUGUAACGGGAGACUGAGGUGCCGGCAGACGUCCAGCUGCCCAGCAGGGCCUCUCACGGCAUGUCCCCAGGUGGCUCCAAUGGCCCCUGUGCUUGAGGGUGGGCUGGCACCAUAGCCCAAGACGGGACCCCCACCAUGCUGUGUCUGCUGGUACUCUCAUCUGCUCUGGUGAAGCAAGCCUACCUGGCAAGGAGUGAGGGCGACCUCUGGCCCAUGGGGCACACGCUGACGACAGCAGUGGACAUGGCUCCUCCCAGGUCGAGCCUUCAGAUGACACCCAGCCCCAGCCGAUGCCCUCUUUUUUUUAAUAUUUUAUUUAUUUAUUUGGCUGCGCCGGGUCUUCUAUGUGGCACGUGGGAUCUUUAGUUGUGGCAGGU
This is a long non-coding RNA of Aethalodelphis obliquidens (Pacific white-sided dolphin), 5327 nucleotides long. RefSeq lists it as uncharacterized. The record is from RefSeq and is a predicted model, not a curated record. The transcript has 3 exons. Lineage: Eukaryota; Metazoa; Chordata; Mammalia; Artiodactyla; Delphinidae.